CUCGUUACUCGUAGAGUAAAAGGUUUAAUAGUCGCAUAUUUUUAAAAUUUAUUUCUAUAAGGUAGGAAUAUCCAGAUUUGUUUUUGGCCAAUGCCUCAGCUUGUCCGUUCCCAGGGAAUUGUCACUGAUCCGAUUCGUGAAGACCCACUUACAUAUCUGAUUUGUCAUUGUCCUGAUCGAAAGCCAGCAAAAACGGUGGCAUCAUAUUACACUUUGUCGCGGAACCUGCUCGUUUCCAUUAUAAGAUUGGUACUCGCUACAUUUGCGGACAUUACUUUGAUGAGUUUGGGGUAGAGCAGAGACGUGGCCACUUCGUUUUAGUAGAAGCCAAG
Long non-coding RNA from Drosophila mauritiana, 332 nucleotides. RefSeq lists it as uncharacterized. NCBI's taxonomy places the organism in Eukaryota, Metazoa, Arthropoda, Insecta, Diptera, Drosophilidae. The record is from RefSeq and is a predicted model, not a curated record. The transcript has 3 exons.